Molecule: ribosomal RNA, 468 nt
Filed under: uncultured bacterium
Lineage: Bacteria
Description: partial 16S ribosomal RNA
Rfam family: Bacterial small subunit ribosomal RNA
Source: RNAcentral
GAUGAACGCUGGCGGCGUGCUUAACACAUGCAAGUCGAACGGAAAGGCCAGUGCUUGCACUGGUACUCGAGUGGCGAACGGGUGAGUAACACGUGGGUGAUCUGCCCUGUACUUCGGGAUAAGCUUGGGAAACUGGGUCUAAUACCGGAUAGGACAACUUUUUGGAUAUUGUUGUGGAAAGCUUUUGCGGUAUGGGAUGAGCUCGCGGCCUAUCAGCUUGUUGGUGGGGUAAUGGCCUACCAAGGCGUCGACGGGUAGCCGGCCUGGGAGGGUGUACGGCCACAUUGGGACUGAGAUACGGCCCAGACUCCUACGGGAGGCAGCAGUGGGGAAUAUUGCACAAUGGGCGCAAGCCUGAUGCAGCGACGCCGCGUGGGGGAUGAAGGCCUUCGGGUUGUAAACUCCUUUCGCUAGGGACGAAGCUUUUUUGUGACGGUACCUGGAGAAGAAGCACCGGCUAACUACGUG